RNAcentral lists this ribosomal RNA (441 nucleotides) under uncultured bacterium. RNAcentral describes it as "partial 16S ribosomal RNA". It matches the Rfam family "Bacterial small subunit ribosomal RNA", at positions 338 to 795 of the family's 1533-position model. The record is from RNAcentral.
CCUACGGGUGGCAGCAGUGGGGGAUAUUGCACAAUGGGGGAAACCCUGAUGCAGCGACGCCGCGUGGGUGAAGAAGUAUUUCGGUAUGUAAAGCCCUAUCAGCAGGGAAGAAAGAAGACGGUACCUGACUAAGAAGCCCCGGCUAACUACGUGCCAGCAGCCGCGGUAAUACGUAGGGGGCGAGUGUUAUCCGGAUUCACUGGGUGUAAAGGGAGCGUAGACGGCCGUGCAAGCCAGGAGUGAAAGCCCGGGGCCCAACCCCGGGACUGCUCUUGGAACUGUGCGGCUGGAGUGCGGGAGGGGCAGGCGGAAUGCCUGGUGUAGCGGUGAAAUGCGUAGAUAUCAGGAGGAACACCGGCGGCGAAGGCGGCCUGCUGGACCGCGACUGACGUUGAGGCUCGAAAGCGUGGGGAGCGAACAGGAUUAGAUACCCUUGUAGUC